RNAcentral lists this transfer RNA (88 nucleotides) under Synechococcus phage S-CBWM1. It matches the Rfam family "tRNA". From Rfam's summary of the family: Transfer RNA (tRNA) molecules are approximately 80 nucleotides in length. Their secondary structure includes four short double-helical elements and three loops (D, anti-codon, and T loops). Lineage: Duplodnaviria; Heunggongvirae; Uroviricota; Caudoviricetes. The record is from Rfam by way of RNAcentral.
GGGUGAGUGUCUACUGUUGGUACGUAGUGUCAGUCUGUAAAACUGAAGUGGUUUUUUAGCCUCGGGGGUUCAAUUCCCUCCUCACCCA